RNAcentral lists this transfer RNA (59 nucleotides) under Paracoccaceae bacterium. RNAcentral describes it as "Rhodobacteraceae bacterium tRNA-Val". It matches the Rfam family "tRNA", at positions 2 to 59 of the family's 71-position model. Rfam says of the family: Transfer RNA (tRNA) molecules are approximately 80 nucleotides in length. Lineage: Bacteria; Pseudomonadati; Pseudomonadota; Alphaproteobacteria; Rhodobacterales; Paracoccaceae. The record is from RNAcentral.
GGCGCGUAGCUCAGUGGUAGAGCACUACGUUGACAUCGUAGGGGUCACAAGUUCGAACC